Calidris pygmaea (Spoon-billed sandpiper) is the source of this 1719-nucleotide long non-coding RNA. The record is from Ensembl. NCBI's taxonomy places the organism in Eukaryota, Metazoa, Chordata, Aves, Charadriiformes, Scolopacidae.
UCAAUUCUUUUCUUCAAGUCCUUCUUUCAAGAAGGGCCCAAAAUAUGUUUUCUUCUAAGACACAGCAAACGGGGAGCGCACAAUGCAGCUGUCUCUGAGCCUCUCUUCUCCUGUCUCAGGGAGAAAGGAAUUCACCAAGCCCUAGAGCCUGACUCACUCGCUGUGUGAGCAUGAAUUAACCAGGAAUGUUCGAGAAUUAUUCCUGAAUAAUUCAUGAACCUGAAUUAAUCAUGCAUUUUCAUGAAUUAUUCAUGAAUAACUCAUGGAAAUGCAAGGUUUAUUCAUGCUCCAAAAAACCCAAGGCUUUUUCUCUUCUCUUCUGCUCUCUCUCCCUUGGGGACGGCAGGUGGGAGCUCUCUGAGCCAGACAAAGGAGACCUGACAAGGAACUGUGGUGAAGGGACAAACCCAAGGCAAAGAAGUGUCCGGGCACCUUCUCUGCUGGAGCAGGCGGCUGGGAUCUGGAUAGACAGGAGACAUUUUGCAAGACUCAACACCUGGAGCAGUGCUAACCAGGUGGGCAGCCCCGAUGUCAGCCAAGCUCUAUGUCCUCAUCAGCUGGCCCGACGGCAGCCGGGUGAUCAACAUCGAGAACAUCAAGGAGCCCCGCAAGCCCUUCCACCUCUACGUGGUGGGUGAGCAGGUGCUGGCCCGCUGCCCAGGCUUCAGUGGGCUCUACUGGGGGAUGCUGGAAGGCAUAAGCGAGCACAAAGAUAUUUUAGAGAAGAAGCUGCUGGAAGAUAGACAGCUCCUGGAGAAGUUAAAAGAAGAACCGGCCGUCCACAGCAUGAUGCCACCCCAGCCGAAAAAAUCCAGGAAAACCUUCCCAAAAUGGACCCCGGGGAAUGCAUCCAGGAAAUGCCACGGCGACAGGCCUUACCCUGCCAAGCCGCUGCUGAGGGUGGCCGAGACCAGCCUGCCCCAUGACGCUGGCAGCUCCUCCAUCAUCAAGGAGAGACGUGCCCUGGGCAACGCGGCUGGAAGUCCUCGCUCGCUGGUGGGGCCCCCCCACCCAGCCAGCGCCUUCUCACCCCCAUCUACAUUCGUCACCAUGGCCAUGCCGGGGACUUCCCAGGGUGAAGAGGACAGGGCUGGUCCAGCGACUAGAGAUUAUGUUGCCCUGGCAAUGAAGAGGAAGUCAGAUGGCAUCUUGUCCCAAUGCCAGCAACACGGCUGUCUGAACAGCUGUGAAGAGCGAAAACUUGACGCUUUGCAAGAGACAGAUGAUUUCGAGAGAGUUCAGAAAAAUUUCAAUCCUGGUGAAACGGAAAGGGAAGAGAAAAUAGAGCAGCUGGAGAGGAUGGUGUUGGACCUCCAACAGGAUGUCCUCUCUCUGAAGAAGAAGGUGCAGAGGCUGGAAUCUCUGUCCUUCCAGGAGGAGCUCCACCGGCAGCCCUGCGAGGUGGUGGAGCUCUUCAACGGCUACACCAAGGAACAGCUCAAAGAGACCAUUCGGUUUGACCAGAAGAUCAGCACUGCCUGCAAGACACUGCUCUACAAGCUCUUCACAUCCGACUACAUCCAGAGCCACUCCAUCACGGGGCGGAGGGGCAAUACUUUCCGAGAGGCGAAGCCCAUGAUGGAUGAACGUUGCAUCAAAAUCAUUAGGGUGCUGUUGAAACAGAAGUUUGGAGAUCACCUCAGUGACACAGUGAUCACGGAGAAGAUACAAAACGUGCAGAAAGCUCUGAGGCAGAAGUUUAAGACAGAAUGUCUCUGA